GUCAUUGUCAGCUACCUGGGGAUGCGCCUCUCGCUCCCUCACUGUCUUUGCGUGUGUGUUAGUGUGUGUGUGUGUGUGUGUGUGUGUGUGUCGGCCUGUCUACGCACUACACGAAGGCUUAGUUGGUCUUCUUUCGUCUAGUGGGCGCACUCAGGUGCGUCACCAUUCUGCCGUUUCCCUCGCCCUUGUCCUGUCCGAAAGAACCGUCCGCAAGCUGCCCUGUGGUCGCGCUCACCAGCUCUUCGAGCCGCAGCUAACCCAUCUUCUUGUUUUUGUGUCUUUAACUAGGACUUCUAUUUGGAACUGAGUCCGACAGCUCAGGACUGGCUGCUCAAACUCCACAAUUUAAUGAAAAAUCUCAGAUGAUGACUCAGAAAACCUCUAAUGAUCUGAGGAAUAUAUUAAGGGAUUCCAGAGUCAAAGGCUGAUCAUGGAGGGCAUUGAUGAGGGAAGACUUCAGGUGGCUGGAGACCAGAAGAAAGGAACACUGGAAGAAUGAAAACGGUUGUGAUGCACUGCAGUGUGAAAAUAUGCCCUUGAGCCUUAAAGAAAGGGGCUUAAGGCCGGGCGCGGUGGCUCACGCCUGUACUCCCAGCACACAGAUCACGAGGUCAAGAGAUUUGAGACCAUCCUGGCCAACACGGUGAAACCCCGUCUCUACUAAAAAUACAAAAAAUUAUGUGGGAGUGGUGGCGCACGCCUGUAGUCCCAGCUACUCGGGAGGCUGAGGCAGGAGAAUCGCUGGAACCCAGGAGGCGGAGGAGGUUACAGUGAGCCGAGAUCGCGCCACUGUACUCCAGCCUGGCGACAGAGCGAGACUCCGUCUCAAAAAAAAAAAA
Molecule: long non-coding RNA, 839 nt
Filed under: Homo sapiens (human)
Lineage: Eukaryota; Metazoa; Chordata; Mammalia; Primates; Hominidae
Description: HSALNT0315051
Source: RNAcentral